RNAcentral lists this ribosomal RNA (121 nucleotides) under Ooceraea biroi (clonal raider ant). Lineage: Eukaryota; Metazoa; Arthropoda; Insecta; Hymenoptera; Formicidae. The record is from RNAcentral.
AAACAACUUAUUACUACUACUACUACUACCAAUUCUCGUCCGAUCACUGAAGUCAAGCAGCGUUGGGCACGGUUAGUACUUGGAUGGGUGACCGCUUGGGAACACCGUGUGACGUUGGCAC